Molecule: ribosomal RNA, 253 nt
Filed under: uncultured bacterium
Lineage: Bacteria
Also listed under: 2 other names
Description: partial 16S ribosomal RNA
Rfam family: Bacterial small subunit ribosomal RNA
Source: RNAcentral
UACGAACUGUGCGAACGUUAUUCGGAAUCACUGGGCUUACAGGGUGCGUAGGCGGCUUGUUAAGUAGGGUGUGAAAGCCCCCGGCUCAACCGGGGAAUUGCGCCCUAAACUGGCGAGCUGGAGUGAGAUAGGGGUGUGUGGAACUUCCGGUGGAGCGGUGAAAUGUGUUGAUAUCGGAAGGAACGCCGGUGGCGAAAGCGACACACUGGAUCUUGUCUGACGCUGAGGCACGAAAGCCAGGGGAGCGAACGGG